GUGUUCACUUCGACAGCACAUAUACUAAAACUGGAAUGAUACAGAGAUUAGUAUGGCUCCUGCGCAAGGAUGACACACAAAUUCAUUAAGCAUUCCAUAUUUUU
This is a small nuclear RNA of Cavia porcellus (domestic guinea pig), 104 nucleotides long. The record is from Ensembl. Lineage: Eukaryota; Metazoa; Chordata; Mammalia; Rodentia; Caviidae.